RNAcentral lists this ribosomal RNA (253 nucleotides) under uncultured bacterium. RNAcentral's name for it is "partial 16S ribosomal RNA". It matches the Rfam family "Bacterial small subunit ribosomal RNA", at positions 524 to 776 of the family's 1533-position model. The record is from RNAcentral.
UACGGAGGGUGCAAGCGUUAUCCGGAUUCACUGGGUUUAAAGGGUGCGUAGGUGGCUUGGUAAGUCAGUGGUGAAAGCCCGGAGCUCAACUCCGGAACUGCCACUGAUACUGCUUAGCUUGAAUCAGGUCGAGGUGGAUGGAAUAUUACAUGUAGCGGUGAAAUGCUUAGAUAUGUAAUAGAACACCGAUUGCGAAGGCAGUUCACUAGGCCUGUAUUGACACUGAGGCACGAAAGCGUGGGGAUCAAACAGG